RNAcentral lists this ribosomal RNA (206 nucleotides) under uncultured bacterium. RNAcentral describes it as "partial 16S ribosomal RNA". It matches the Rfam family "Bacterial small subunit ribosomal RNA", at positions 568 to 774 of the family's 1533-position model. The record is from RNAcentral.
AGCGUAGGCGGUUUGGUAAGUCAGAUGUGAAAUCCCGGGGCUCAACCCGGAACUGCAUUUGAUACUGCCGGACUUGAGUAGUGGAGGGGUAGAUGGAAUUCUCGGUGUAGCAGUGAAAUGCGUGGAUAUCGAGAGGAACACUCGUGGCGAAGGCGAUCUACUGGACACUUACUGACGCUGAGGCUCGAAGGCCAGGGUAGCGAAAG